UAUAUACUCCCUCCGUUCGGAAUUACUUGUCGCAUAAAUGGAUGCAUCUAGAUGUAUUUUAGUUCUAUAUACAUUCAUAUCUGAAACAAGUAAUUCCGAACGAAGGGAGUAGAUC
Non-coding RNA from Triticum aestivum (bread wheat), 115 nucleotides. NCBI's taxonomy places the organism in Eukaryota, Viridiplantae, Streptophyta, Magnoliopsida, Poales, Poaceae. The record is from Rfam.